UUUCCCAGCCUCUCACCUACAACAGUGGCCAACCCAUUGUACUGAGUAUGUCCGUAUUCGGAUAAAAAUAAUCGUAGGGACCUGAAAUUUUCACAGAAUACUAAUGAUAGUUUUUUUUUAUAAACCGUAGUCAUAUUUCCGAAAUUUGCAAUUGAUUUACAUUUGAAGUUUUUGAGGUAUGUAUGUGAUCGUUUUGACCGAGGGAAUGUGAAAAUUAAACAGGUUUUUUUUUU
This is a non-coding RNA of Cinara cedri, 233 nucleotides long. The record is from the annotation of a GenBank genome assembly. NCBI's taxonomy places the organism in Eukaryota, Metazoa, Arthropoda, Insecta, Hemiptera, Aphididae.